AUUAAUAAAGUAGAGCAGAAAGUCUCCUCCUGCGUCCACGUUAGCAAACCCUGUUCCUUUUCGUGACACGUGGCAGGCAAUGAGAAAACUUUUUAUUUUGAUUCUGAAUCUGUUCGUAGAGUGCAAACAGUUAACAUUGAGCAAUGGACUUAUAUUAUUUUUUGGACCCUUACAACUUUUAUCAUUGCGGCCCGAUUUCGUUUUAGGGCUUAGUAUACGCUCAAGCUCUUCCUCUUUGACGCCGUAAUCCUUUCGUUCGCCAUCGUCUCCGAUCAGAUUUGCUGUAACGCUCUCCCUUCUUAAACUCAUGCUUUAAUUCAAUCAUUAAACUUCACUCCACCUUCUCUCCCACUCAGCCUCAUUUAUUCAAGCUCACCAGCUGCGUAUGUAACAGAUACAGUUUUGAUCUAUAAAUAGGUCUUCUGGAAUCGAUGAAUACCUACUCUGCUCAGAUACCUGAAAGCCAAUACUUCUUACGCAUCAGCUUGAAAUAUUUCGUCUUCGUACGUUUUUCUCGCCAACCUGAAAGCAGGUCGUUCCUCAAACACGACAGAGAUCCUAUCUCCCCAGGUUCUGGAAAGCUCGGAAUGUCAGAAAAGGUGGAGAGCUCAUGAGUGUGGACAUGCUUCUUCUCGAUUAGUAGACAGCAAUGACAAGGAACAUUGAGAUAAGAAUGGCUGUAGCUACAACACAAAGGAAUCAUCAUUAACCGAGUCAUCAAAUCGAGAUUUACAUGGUUCUUCUCGCCGGUGAUUCACCGGAGCUCCAAUGAGAGGCCAUGGAUGGUUCAUGAUCGUCUUCAAGUGCUCAAGCUCUCUCAUUUCUGAUAUUAAAAGUUAGAUUGUAGUGUUGUGAGUUUGUUAAGGUGAAACAGAGAGAGAGAGAGAGAGAAGUGAGAUGAAGAAGGAGAAGAGAGUGAGCAAGUGGUGAUAAACAUGGAAGAAUGUGAAAGCUUUGGGAUUUUAAUAGAGAUAAAAAAAACUUUACAGGUCUUGAAAUGUGAUGUUUUUAUAAGUAGAUAGUGAACGUAUCAUGCGCACUAUAUUCUUAAGCAAAUGUUUAGUUGAUAUUUGUUUGGGUUUGGGCUUAGAGUGUGAUGAUAAAUUGAGCAUGAGAACGAGAAGGAGCAUGAAACGGAGAGUGUGACAGCAAGGGCUAUUUCUGAAGUGCAAAGUGUCACGGGAGAGGUCGAUAGUCACUAGAACAUGCUGAGUUUAUUAGAGCUGCAGUUUUUUUUGGUUUGUUUUUUUUUU
Long non-coding RNA from Brassica napus (rape), 1253 nucleotides. RefSeq lists it as uncharacterized. NCBI's taxonomy places the organism in Eukaryota, Viridiplantae, Streptophyta, Magnoliopsida, Brassicales, Brassicaceae. The record is from RefSeq and is a predicted model, not a curated record. The transcript is spliced from 2 exons.